This is a long non-coding RNA of Formica exsecta, 694 nucleotides long. RefSeq lists it as uncharacterized. The transcript is spliced from 3 exons. NCBI's taxonomy places the organism in Eukaryota, Metazoa, Arthropoda, Insecta, Hymenoptera, Formicidae. The record is from RefSeq and is a predicted model, not a curated record.
CAUCAAGUUGUUUUAUUCUUAUUAUGGCAUGUUUAUUCUUAUCAUAAUACUUUCCUCGGAGUCAUCUUAUGCCGGGAAUUGUACAUUCUUCGUAUCGCUAUUAUGUAUAACAAAUUUUUGGAGUCGCUGAUAUCAUCCCCGAUUGACAUCACCGUAGCUAUGAAGGCCUUGAAUAUUGAGAACAAAAAGAUUUGCCCCAAAUGCUUCAAAGUAUUGUGAAACGAAUGUUCUUUGAAACGUCAUCUUAAGAAUGUCUGCGAUAAGAUUCGUAAUCCCAAUGGCAAAUUCCAAUGCGAGAGAUGUAAUGAGAAGGCGUACAUUAGUAGAGGCAGGCUGAUGUAUCAUCAAAGAUACGAGUGCGGCAUACAGCCCUCGUUUAAAAGCAUAUCAAUCCACAUGGAUGUCUUUUGGAUGUCCUAAGGACGCCCUUUCUUUCAAUGCGGAAUAUGCAGAGGAUAUCCUAUUAUGUUCCUCAUACUUUUCCAGGAUGUUCUGAGGAAUAGCAAAUGAGCGCCUCACUAUACCUAGAAAUAUCCUCAGGAUAUUCCAUUUCAAAGUCCUACGGAUGUCCAUAAGAUGUCCGUAAGACAUCGUAAUUUUUGAAACGUCCAUAAUGCAUUCAAAAUUAAUCCAGAAUAUGUUAUCAAGGUACUUUAUUUUAAGGAUAACAUACUGAAUAUAAUUUAUAUAAGAU